ACGAACGCUGGCGGCAGGCCUAACACAUGCCAGUCGAGCGAGGACUUCGGUUCUAGCGGCGGACGGGUGAGUAACGCGUGGGAAUGUGCCCUUCUCUACGGAAUAGCCCUGGGAAACUGGGAGUAAUACCGUAUACGCCCUAUUGGGGAAAGAUUUAUCGGAGAAGGAUCAGCCCGCGUUGGAUUAGGUAGUUGGUGGGGUAAUGGCCUACCAAGCCGACGAUCCAUAGCUGGUUUGAGAGGAUGAUCAGCCACACUGGGACUGAGACACGGCCCAGACUCCUACGGGAGGCAGCAGUGGGGAAUCUUAGACAAUGGGGGCAACCCUGAUCUAGCCAUGCCGCGUGAGUGAUGAAGGCCUUAGGGUUGUAAAGCUCUUUCAGCUGGGAAGAUAAUGACGGUACCAGCAGAGGAAGCCCCGGCUAACUCCGU
Molecule: ribosomal RNA, 431 nt
Filed under: uncultured bacterium
Lineage: Bacteria
Description: partial 16S ribosomal RNA
Rfam family: Bacterial small subunit ribosomal RNA
Source: RNAcentral